This is a long non-coding RNA of Pyrus x bretschneideri (Chinese white pear), 858 nucleotides long. RefSeq lists it as uncharacterized. Lineage: Eukaryota; Viridiplantae; Streptophyta; Magnoliopsida; Rosales; Rosaceae. The transcript has 3 exons. The record is from RefSeq and is a predicted model, not a curated record.
UCUGCCGCAGCAAUAUUGAUGAUUUACUAGGCGGAGCGUGCAAGGAAUCAACGUGCGUUUGCUCCUGGAAGAUUUAUAUAGGACAACAUUCUUAUUACGCAUGAAAUUUUCUCCUCUUUCAAGGGUAAGAAAGGUAAGUUUGGAGCCAUGGCUAUCAAGCUUAAUUUAAAAAAAGCGUAUGAUUUUCUCAGUUGGGACUAUAUCAAACUAGUACUAAUGAAAUUCCACUAGUAGGAAAAACAGCCUGCGUGACGUAACAUUUUUCGUCACAAAAGAGGUACUGUGUGACGAAAAAAUAUUAUCGUCGCCCAAAAAAGGCAGGAAAGAAAAAAAAAACUUUGCACAACAAAGGCUUCGUCGCGCAAGUUACUGUAAGUUUUGAGUCAAAUCAUUUAGUGCAUGUAAAUUAGAGAAAUCAAUACUGUAUUUAGUAUAGAUGUUUGUGCGACAAAGCUUUUGUUGUGCAAAGGUUUGCGUGACAAGCCUUCGUCGAGCAAAGGCCCUAACCUUCCUAUAAAUAUGAGCUUCUGCUCUUCUUAUUCUCCACAAUUCUGUUCCUGUUGCGAUGGAUGAUAAAAACCGGGAUCAGAGGAUGCUUGCCAACCUGUAUGAUAUGAGGCAACAUGUGGAGUUCGCGCAUGCGAUAGGUGUAGCCAUGCAGAAUAAUUGUCCUAUUGUUGAGUGGCGUUCUUGGAAAUAUGUGCCAGAGAAUUUGAAGAAGGCGGUGAUGGAUCAAUUAUUAUGUAAGUAUACUCUUGAUGAUGAUACGAACAAAGAGUUGAUGAAGUUGAUGGAGGAUGCGUUGAAGGCAAGUUAAAAGCGGUGGCGUUAUAAUGUGGAGCGGAAUGGAAGACCAUC